CCUGCAGUGUCUGGUGUCGGGUCUCGUCCCGUCUCAGGUGCGUGUGUUCUGGAUGAUCGGAGGGACUGUGGUCUCUGGAUGGACAGAGUCUGGCUGGACAGACCACACGGAGUCAGCCGCCGAGUUCACUCGAGCUCAUCUCUCUUCCCGUCGAGGAGUGGAGCCGAGCCGAUGAUAUUCAGUGCGUCGCCGUAUAUGACGGCAAGAACAUCUCCAGGACUCUGAUGCGAAGAGGAUCCGAACCAGAGAUCUACUCGUGGCUUAUCUACACCGGCUGUGUGGCAGCAGUCCUGACCAUAAUUAUAACCGUCUCCAUGGCUGUGGGAUUAUUUUGAGAUACGGUGAUGACCAACAAAUCCAGAAGGCUCACAACAAAAGACGCCCACCGCAAAAUUGGUAAACAGAACACACUGAGAGAAGAGACUUCAUCUGUCCUGGUAAGAGGACGAAGUGAAGAUGAACAUUGAACUAUAACUUUUUUUUUUUCUGAAUGUCUCGUGAAAGACUAAACAAGCUCGACAUAUGUAUCACAACAAUUCUGACAGUAUUUUUCAUGAAACAUACCAUGCAAUGCGGGUAUGUUACUCUCCAGUGAUAUUGGUAAAAGCUUUAACAUUAUUUAAGCAUCGAAACAAAAAAAGUUAUAUGCAAAUAAAUAAAUAGUAAAUACAUGGUAAUAAACAAUUAUGUUAAAAGGCAUGCAAGAAACAACCUGAGGCUGAAAAUAUUCUGGCGUAUAUAUUUAACUGAAAGCCGACGCCUGGUUCAGAUGUGUUUUUUUAGUAACGAUGGCUGUUCCUUGCAGUUUUUGUCUUGAAAUUAUUUGAACUAUUAUAUUACUUCCUUUAACUUUUCUUUGGAGCUAUAGACACGUGAAUGUCAUGAAUGUCAUAGAAUGAAAAACAUUUUUACGGAAAACCUCUUUAAUGUACAUGGCUCUCUGGAUUUCUUCCAUCCGGCUGUCAAUAUUUAUUCAUUAUGCAUUAUAUUUAUUCACUGGCAAAUACUAGAAAUAUGAGCAAACUCUUCAAGGAAACAGAUCAAAUGCUCUUAUAAGAGCAUGAGGAAGCUGCAGCUAUUUAGGGAUGAGAAAUGCUUCUAGCAUUUUAUGAUGUUAGUAUUUUAUCCAGUGUUUCUCUGGGGAUCCCAUCAGUCACGGACAGGACGUUGGUCCAUCGAAACAAUAAAGGUAGUGCAAAAGUAGAAUUUGUAAUCGCAAAAGUACCCUUACAAAAAGUGAUACUUACAAAUAUCUGUCUCUUUUUUCAGCGUGGAGAAGAAAAUGCUGCAUAAAAUACUAAAAGAAAAGUUUAAAAUGUAAUAUAUUGUUAUAUGUUGUUUACUCAUAGCAGAAUCUCUGUUCUUCUUUUGUUAUAAUGCAUGAUCAUGAAUAUUUAUUGGUUAGGAACUGUUCUUAAAGGCUAUGUGUUUUUAGUUAGAUAUUUCGGUAACACUAUAUUUUGAUGGUCCCUCAUGAACAUUAUGUUGAUAAUAAGUAACUUUGCAAAUACAUGUCAACUAACUUUCAUUAAAGUAUAAGUAGACUGAAUGAUUAUUAUCUAAUAACCCUUUAUUGUGAUGAUCUCCCAACAGACAUUAUACUGACUGUAGGUAACUUCUCAAGAGCAUUAUUCUAAGCCUAACCCUACCAGUCUUAUACCGAAAGUUAGUUGACAUGUAGGUAUAAUAUUUGAGAUUGUUGUCAUAUGUGAUUUUGAUUUUUGAUUUUUUUGGGUUUGAAAACCCACUGUGCAUGAAACAGGAAAAUGUUUGGCCUCUUGCUGUAGCCUUCAUCCUCUCAUUCGACAGCUUGUGGUUAGACAGAAGCUGCAUAACAGGAUGUCGGAAGAAACGAGAGUCUUAUGACACAGAAAUGAAUCCUCCUUUCAUUGUCCGUUUCUGCAGCAAACCCACUGCCGUUAUUUAAGCCCUGAUGUGAAACGGUUUAAAAAAAUUGUAUUGUCAUGUAAUGUCUUUCCCUCCAUCCUUACAGUAUGUAAAUAACCACACUUGUUGUUAUGACAUAUAAUAAAUAAAAUGAAAUUGGUAGCAAA
Molecule: long non-coding RNA, 2054 nt
Organism: Puntigrus tetrazona (Sumatra barb)
Lineage: Eukaryota; Metazoa; Chordata; Actinopteri; Cypriniformes; Cyprinidae
Exons: 5
Source: RefSeq, a predicted model, not a curated record